UCUACGGGGGGCUGCAGUGAGGAAUAUUGGUCAAUGGGAGAGAUCCUGAACCAGCCAAGCCGCGUGAGGGAAGACGGCCCUAUGGGUUGUAAACCUCUUUUGUCGGAGAACAAAACCCGGUACGUGUCCCGGACUGCGUGUAUCCGACGAAAAAGCAUCGGCUAACUCCGUGCCAGCAGCCGCGGUAAUCCGGAGGAUGCGAGCGUUAUCCGGAUUUAUUGGGUUUAAAGGGUGGGUAGGCGGUCCGUUAAGUCAGCGGUAAAAUUGCGGGGCUCAACCCGGGCGAGCCGUUGAAACUGGCAGACUGGAGUGGGCGAGAAGUAAGCGGAAUGCGCGGUGUAGCGGUGAAAUGCAUAGAUAUCGCGCAGAACUCCGAUUGCGAAGGCAGCUUGCUGCAGCGGAACUGACGCUGAUGCUCGAAAGCGCGGGUAUCGAACAGGAUUAGAUACCCGAGUAGUC
This 459-nucleotide ribosomal RNA is filed under the name uncultured bacterium. Its description in RNAcentral is "partial 16S ribosomal RNA". It matches the Rfam family "Bacterial small subunit ribosomal RNA", at positions 338 to 795 of the family's 1533-position model. The record is from RNAcentral.